UGCAUAUUACUAUUAAAGCUAAGACUGUCUAGAAUUUCUAAACAACAACAACAACAACAAAAAUCUAACUUAAAAUUUACUUUUUGCAGUAUUACACAAUGAAUCCUAAAUUAUUGGCUUAAUCACAUGUGUUAAAGAAGUUUCAAUGCAGAAACUAGACAAAACAACUAACAAAAUCAUCAUGUCCUUUAUUAUUUAUUCUUGAAAUUAGCAAUCUGUAGAACUGAUCACAUUUUGUCCGAGUAGACAUGACUGGGCCAAUUGUAUAGCCCUGAAGGAACCAUCAUUUUGUGUUUACUAACGUUUUACUUAUUGAUUCUAAGAUGCACAAUUUUCUUCUCAUUGGGACACUUCUGAAACUGAAAUGUGACUUAGAAUUGACAAUAUAUCAUGGUUUAUUGGUAGCAUUUUGUGUUACUUAGUGGAACAUAAAAUAAUGGUGCAUCAUAAAAUUAAGAGCUCUUAUAUUGGAUAGAAUACAGUAUUUGGUUGGCCAUGUUCCAUGUGAAUAUAUAUCAUCGAUUAGCAUAAAAUGGUAUAUUUGGGGGAAAUACCUGACUUUAUGUUAAUAAUAAUUUAAAGAACAAACUAAUCCCACAGCUGAAGUAAGUUAAAUAGCUACAGGGAUUUAGGAAAUGGUCCUCUCCAGGCUGUCUGUUGUUCAUCGCUGUGUGAGGAUGUUUUCUGGUUAGUUGUCGUGUGUGGGUUAUGAUGAGCCCAAAGGAGUGUUUUUUAUCUUGAAGUCUUAAAAAAUAGAAGUCCGUUGGUCAAGAUCUGAAAGAGUAAAAUUUAACCACAGCUACAUUUUAAAAUAAAGUUAAAAAUUGGCCGGGUGUGAUGGCUCAUGCCUAUAAUCCCUGCACUUUGGGAGGCUGAGGCAGGAGGAUCACUUGAGGUCAGGAGUUCGAGACCAGCCUGGCCAACAUGGUGAAACCCUGUCUCUACUAAAAAUGCAAAAAUUAGCCAAGCAUGAUGGCUCAUGCCUGUAAUCCAGCUACUGAGGAGGCUGAGGCAGGAGAAUCACUUGAACCUGGGAGGCAGAGGUUGCAGUGAGCUGAGAUCAUACCACUUCAUUCCAGCCUGGGCAACAGAGUGAGACUCAGUCUCUAAAUAAGUAAAUAAAUUAAGUAAGUUAAAAAUUUGGUAAGUUUCCUUGGUACCCUUUGAACUGACCAAUGCUCAAAAUGUAGACGGUGGAAAGUGUUUUCAUUAAGGCAAAUCAUACCUGCAUCCAAGGUAUGGAAGUACUUUAUACUGUAACAACAAUGCCGAGUGAGAAGGUGAUUGAAUUUUCUUGUUUUGGGGACCAUUAAACUGAUGAGGAACAUGUUGAUGAUUGCAGCAUAAACACCUCUCAGUUUGUCUUCCUUCAGUUUGCUCAAGGAAGUACUUACAUCGUGAUUUGGAAAUCAAUAUGUUUGGGAAAUGUCAAAGCUGAUGCGUUUAAAAAUGCAUUGAAACACUAUGGGAAUAUCAAACUAUGAAAAAGACAAGAUUUUCCAAUCAAUAUGUUUUCCACUUUGAAGAAUACAUAUAUUUUUUGCUGAUUAUAAAGUUAACAGAUAUGCAUUGUCAAGCAUUCAGGAUGUACAGAGAAAUAUAUUACACGAUUCUCAUUGUGACAGCAUUGCUGGCUUUUGAUGAAAACCAAUAGUGACCCGAUGCAUAGCCUUCCUAUUUUUUUCUAUGAAUAUUAUUGCUUGUGGGAAGGUGCAUGCAUCGCACAUGCACAUCCACUCCUGCACAUCAUUAUUACAAAAAUGGACUGUGGGGCUUAGGGUGCCUUGCGCCCCAGUGUUUUUGAAUGGUUGUUUUUAGGACGUUCUAGGUAGGAACCUGUGGCUUCUGGGAACAGGUGGGAUUCCCAGAACAGGGUUUUAACCUAACAUUGUGCUUGCCUCCGUUUCCUCUCUUCUAUUUGGUUACUUUCCUGAAGCCCAGUGACCAAUAGUAAGGAAGUUUCAGCAGACAGUGGUCUGAGUCAGGCAGCCUUUCCCCUCUGUUUUCCAAGCAAACUUAGUUACAUUGGUAUUCUAGGUUAGGAAGCCGGGGAAGGUUGUGGAUAAUUUUCAGUCCCCAUUGUCUUUUAGGCUCCCACUAGGUUCUCAAUAAUAAAGAAGAGCAAAUUAAGGAAGACUCAGCCAAGCGCUCCUCUCAGAUAAAGAGAAGGCUCUAGCUUCCUACAGGUUAUGCCUGGGGGGCAGACUGAUUUCAGAGGGAAAAGAUGAACAACUAUUGCAUCCAAAGACAUGUCGUUCUAGGGAAAAGUCCAGGUUAAGUUCAACGAGGGCCAGCCAUCUCCCUUUGUACUCCAGGACAUUUAAAUACUUUUUUUUUUUUUUUUUUUUGCUUUAAAACAGUUGCUUUAACAUAUGCACUCAUAGCUGAGUAGAGUCCAGACAAAACCACGUGUCUCAGAAGUCAAGAUUAUGUGGAGUUUGCAUUAGAAGCCUUCUUAAGAACAUAAAAUCCUCCGUUUUCAUGCUUCAGAAGUAGAGAAGUCCAGGUUUUUGUCUUUGAAUAGUGCUGGGUUCUCACUUCACUAAUAUAUUUCUCUUGGUUUUCCAAAUAUCUGCUUGUCCACAGUAACAGUGUCCUUAUUUUCCACUAGUAAAUCUUACAGGGUCUCAGUAGUGACUCUCACUGAAAUAAGGGCAGAAAACACCAGUGCCGUGGUGUGGAACUGGAGGGCUAGGGUGGAGAGCCAAGGAAGCUGGAGAAGCCAAUCAGACGGGGAGUGGAGUGUGCUGCUGUGAGGCCACUCAUGGGCUGGGUGUCCGUGGCUCUGGGCAGACCUCUCAUGACUGGUUCAGCGGAGCCCAGGGGACUGGGAACUGAACAGCUAAACACAGAUGGUCAGGACUGAAGUGCACUUGAAACAAAUAAAAUAGAGCAAAUAGGGUCCAUUGGCCAACGCUCUGGGAAGGAAGGAAGAAUAGGGAGAUCAUUUGACGCCGGCCUCACGCUAACAGGGAAGCCACCGGUAAAUGAGGAAUAAGUUUCGAUGGUUAAAUUACCUUGCCUUGUCAGUUCUCUCCAGGACCUUCCUUGACAGCCAGGCAUUUUCCUUCAGUUAUUGGCAUAUUUGAGAGAAAGAAGGUUGUUUUUGUAAAUUGUCUUCAUUUUAUUCUGACUUCCUGGAGUCUUCAAAGGCUCUCGUGGGGACCACUGGCUUUCUGGGCCCUGAGAGCGUCUGCAACUAGGAGGUGUUGUAACUGUGGAGCCACGAGCCACCAGCCACCAGCCUGGAAUUUGGGUGACAGCAGCAACCAGGAAAUGUUUUAGACCAAUUCUGAGCCUCAGUCCUGUGCACCUUUGAGUCUGGUCCAUCGUGGGUGAUCCAAGCUAUGAUUAUCCACUGAAGACUUAGGUUUUCCUUGUCCUUUUUGGUAUCUAUCUGAAACACAGAUGCUCACCACCUCCGCAGCUGUGAGCAGCCUGCCUCGCUGGGGACAAAGGAGAUGGAGAAGCAUCCCUUUGUAGGGGAGAGCUGGAUAAUUCCAGCCUGUUAGCUACUCACGGGAACAUGCAGAAUUAUUGGCUCCAGGGAGUUUUGGAGAAAGAAGGUUUACGUUUUCAAACUUACAGAUAACAGUUGACAUCAAUGCUUCUCUUUCCCAGAACAAUCUGGAGUUUGCCAGAAAACUCUGUAAACAGGAGUCGUGCUGUGUGUGAACUGUAAACUCUUCUCUCCAGGCGUCGAGGGGACCUUUGCUUUACUUUGCAGCUGGGCUACAUCAGACGUGUGCAUUUGAAACAUAAACUUCCUUAACUGGGAAAAGAAUGCUUCUCUGUCUUCAAAAUAGUUCUGCUAUGUGACAUUUUUGCCAUCAUGAAUUUUACAUCAGUGCUAGCUCUUCGUUUUACGUGUUUCAUUUGGCAGGUCACAAAGGCCCUUGGCUACCACACAUACGUGCAUACACACACACACACACACACACACACACUCAUAAAGGAUUUUCUUUUCUGCUUUACCUUUAAUUUUAGUCUACUUGGCUUGUAAUGAAAGGUAGAGCCUUAUUUUUGAACUAUAUCCCAACAGAAUCGAAUUUCCACUUUGCCAAGAAUUAUAAAACCCUGAGGUUUUAAAAUUCAGUUUCUUUUCUGGGGAUUUAACAUGGAAGGACUUGGAGGGCAAAUGGCCCAGUGAUUGGAAAGGGGAAAAACAAUUCAUUUCAUUUAAAAUUAUUCAAUAACCAUUGCCAGCAUUUGGGAUUCUGAGUGCUGUUUAUGAAGCCCUUUCAUUGAUAUAAUUUCAUCUAUCUCUCACAAGGCUGUAAGCAAUUCCUAUGUCCAUAUGGCAGUGAAGAAAUGGAGAUUUGAGCAGGUUAAGGGAGUUUUCACCUGGAAGCUCUUCUUUUUUUUCCUUCUGCCACAGUAGGGUCAUCAGACUGUCAGCCCCAGCACUGGGAGCCGAGUAACACACAUGUUCUCAUUAAUAUCCUUUUCUCACGUUUUUAUUAAAGAUAUAUGCAAGUUGCCAAAAGACGAAGGAACUUGCAGGGAUUUCAUAUUAAAAUGGUACUAUGAUCCAAACACCAAAAGCUGUGCAAGAUUCUGGUAUGGAGGUUGUGGUGGAAACGAAAACAAAUUUGGAUCACAGAAAGAAUGUGAAAAGGUUUGCGCUCCUGUGCUCGCCAAACCCGGAGUCAUCAGUGUGAUGGGAACCUAAGCGUGGCUGGCCAACAUCAUAUACCUCUUGAAGAAGAAGGAGUCAGCCAUCGCCAACUUGUCUCUGUAGAAGCUCCGGGUGUAGAUUCCCUUGCACUGUAUCAUUUCAUGCUUUGAUUUACACUCGAACUCGGGAGGGAACAUCCUGCUGCAUGACCUAUCAGUAUGGUGCUAAUGUGUCUGUGGACCCUCGCUCUCUGUCUCCAGGCAGUUCUCUCGAAUACUUUGAAUGUUGUGUAACAGUUAGCCACUGCUGGUGUUUAUGUGAACAUUCCUAUCAAUCCAAAUUCCCUCUGGAGUUUCAUGUUAUGCCUGUUGCAGGCAAAUGUAAAGUCUAGAAAAUAAUGCAAAUGUCACGGCUACUCUAUAUACUUUUGCUUGGUUCAUUUUUUUUCCCUUUUAGUUAAGCAUGACUUUAGAUGGGAAGCCUGUGUAUCGUGGAGAAACAAGAGACCAACUUUUUCAUUCCCUGCCCCCAAUUUCCCAGACUAGAUUUCAAGCUAAUUUUCUUUUUCUGAAGCCUCUAACAAAUGAUCUAGUUCAGAAGGAAGCAAAAUCCCUUAAUCUAUGUGCACCUUUGGGACCAAUGCCUUAAUUAAAGAAUUAAAAAAAGUUGUAAUAGAGAAUAUUUUUGGCAUUCCUCUAAUGUUGUGUGUUUUUUUUGUGCUGGGGGGAGGGGAUUUAAUUUUAAUUUUAAAAUGUUUAGGAAAUUUAUACAAAGAAACUUUUUAAUAAAGUAUAUUGAAAGUUUCCUGGGUGUGACGUU
This 5437-nucleotide small RNA is filed under the name Pan troglodytes (chimpanzee). Its description in RNAcentral is "processed transcript". The stretch from base 828 to 944 matches the Rfam family "Metazoan signal recognition particle RNA". The record is from RNAcentral. Lineage: Eukaryota; Metazoa; Chordata; Mammalia; Primates; Hominidae.